UACGGAGGGUGCAAGCGUUAGUCGGAAUUACUGGGCGUAAAGGGUGCGUAGGCGGGGAAAUAAGUCAUAUGUAAAAGCCUGGAGCUCAACUCCAGAUCUGCAUCUGAAACUGUUUUUCUUGAGGAUGAGCGGAGAAAACGGAAUUCCACAUGUAGCGGUGAAAUGCGUAGAUAUGUGGAAGAACACCUGUGGCGAAAGCGGUUUUCUAGCUUAUACCUGACGCUGAGGCACGAAAGCAAGGGGAGCAAACAGG
Molecule: ribosomal RNA, 253 nt
Filed under: uncultured bacterium
Lineage: Bacteria
Description: partial 16S ribosomal RNA
Rfam family: Bacterial small subunit ribosomal RNA
Source: RNAcentral